RNAcentral lists this transfer RNA (64 nucleotides) under Plagiodera versicolora (willow leaf beetle). RNAcentral describes it as "tRNA-Trp". It matches the Rfam family "tRNA". From Rfam's summary of the family: Transfer RNA (tRNA) molecules are approximately 80 nucleotides in length. Their secondary structure includes four short double-helical elements and three loops (D, anti-codon, and T loops). The record is from RNAcentral. Lineage: Eukaryota; Metazoa; Arthropoda; Insecta; Coleoptera; Chrysomelidae.
AAGGAUUUAAGUUAAAGUAAACUUUUAGCCUUCAAAGCUAACUAUAGGGGUUCUCUAAGCCUUA